This 345-nucleotide long non-coding RNA is filed under the name Ananas comosus (pineapple). RNAcentral describes it as "long non-coding RNA (ACOM_LNC041204)". Lineage: Eukaryota; Viridiplantae; Streptophyta; Magnoliopsida; Poales; Bromeliaceae. The record is from RNAcentral.
ACCACGUAAAUAUCGGUGUGCUCUUUCCUUAUCUUUUAUUUUCCUGCAUUAAGUUAUUUUCUAGAUCUAUUUUUUCGCCGUUUCGAUUUUAACAGUGAAUUUGCAUAAAAAUUUCAUGUGCCUUGCACUUUUAAUAAAAAAUAGGCCAUUUUUUCAGAUUUUACAGAUUCAAUCAGAAUUUUUAGUAAACAAAAUAUAAUAUCGUUUUUCCUUUUUCGCUCUUCUUUCUAUUCUCAUUUGUCUUUCUCCACUCGGUUCAUCUCUUUUGUUCUUGCCGCUCCUUCCUCCUUUUCUCCUCUUGCUUUUCUUCUCUUCUUGUCCUCCUCCACCUCCAUCCCUUCCAGU